RNAcentral lists this ribosomal RNA (388 nucleotides) under uncultured bacterium. RNAcentral's name for it is "bacterial SSU rRNA". It matches the Rfam family "Bacterial small subunit ribosomal RNA", at positions 28 to 417 of the family's 1533-position model. The record is from RNAcentral.
GACGAACGCUGGCGGCGUGCUUAACACAUGCAAGUCGAGCGGUAAGGCCCUUUCGGGGGUACACGAGCGGCGAACGGGUGAGUAACACGUGGGUGACCUGCCCUCAGCUCUGGGAUAAGCCUGGGAAACCGGGUCUAAUACUGGAUAUGACUCCAUGACGCAUGUUGUGGGGUGGAAAGCCUUGUGCGGCUGAGGAUGGGCCCGCGGCCUAUCAGCUUGUUGGUGGGGUGANGGCCUACCAAGGCGACGACGGGCAGCCGGCCUGAGAGGGCGACCGGCCACACUGGGACUGAGACACGGCCCAGACUCCUACGGGAGGCAGCAGUGGGGAAUCUUGCGCAAUGGGCGAAAGCCUGACGCAGCGACGCCGCGUGAGGGAUGACGGCCU